Prevotella corporis is the source of this 132-nucleotide non-coding RNA. The record is from Rfam. Lineage: Bacteria; Pseudomonadati; Bacteroidota; Bacteroidia; Bacteroidales; Prevotellaceae.
UUAAUCGUGAGGUGAAAUCUGAAUGUAGCUGGCAGCAAACUUCUGACCUAAAGAACAGCAACUUCAUAUAAGCCAUAUAAUCAUGGAUAACAUGGCUGCUGACCAUGUUUGAAAAGAAAAACAGUGCCUUUA